RNAcentral lists this ribosomal RNA (496 nucleotides) under uncultured bacterium. Its description in RNAcentral is "partial 16S ribosomal RNA". It matches the Rfam family "Bacterial small subunit ribosomal RNA", at positions 28 to 506 of the family's 1533-position model. The record is from RNAcentral.
GAUGAACGCUGGCGGCGUGCCUAAUACAUGCAAGUCGAGCGAACAGACGAGGAGCUUGCUCCUCUGACGUUAGCGGCGGACGGGUGAGUAACACGUGGAUAACCUACCUAUAAGACUGGGAUAACUUCGGGAAACCGGAGCUAAUACCGGAUAAUAUAUUGAACCGCAUGGUUCAAUAGUGAAAGACGGUUUUGCUGUCACUUAUAGAUGGAUCCGCGCCGCAUUAGCUAGUUGGUAAGGUAACGGCUUACCAAGGCGACGAUGCGUAGCCGACCUGAGAGGGUGAUCGGCCACACUGGAACUGAGACUCGGUCCAGACUCCUACGGGAGGCAGCAGUAGGGAAUCUUCCGCAAUGGGCGAAAGCCUGACGGAGCAACGCCGCGUGAGUGAUGAAGGUCUUCGGAUCGUAAAACUCUGUUAUUAGGGAAGAACAAAUGUGUAAGUAACUAUGCACGUCUUGACGGUACCUAAUCAGAAAGCCACGGCUAACUACGU